AUGAACGCUGGCGGCGUGCCUAAUACAUGCAAGUCGAGCGAACGGACGAGAAGCUUGCUUCUCUGAUGUUAGCGGCGGACGGGUGAGUAACACGUGGAUAACCUACCUAUAAGACUGGGAUAACUUCGGGAAACCGGAGCUAAUACCGGAUGAUAUUUUGAACCGCAUGGUUCAAAAGUGAAAGACGGUCUUGCUGUCACUUAUAGAUGGAUCCGCGCUGCAUUAGCUAGUUGGUAAGGUAACGGCUUACCAAGGCAACGAUGCAUAGCCGACCUGAGAGGGUGAUCGGCCACACUGGAACUGAGACACGGUCCAGACUCCUACGGGAGGCAGUAGUAGGGAAUCUUCCGCAAUGGGCGAAAGCCUGACGGAGCAACGCCGCGUGAGUGAUGAAGGUCUUCGGAUCGUAAAACUCUGUUAUUAGGGAAGAACAUAUGUGUAAGUAACUGUGCACAUCUUGACGGUACCUAAUCAGAAAGCCACGGCUAACUACGUG
RNAcentral lists this ribosomal RNA (496 nucleotides) under uncultured bacterium. RNAcentral describes it as "partial 16S ribosomal RNA". It matches the Rfam family "Bacterial small subunit ribosomal RNA", at positions 29 to 507 of the family's 1533-position model. The record is from RNAcentral.